UUUAUUUGUGGGGGGGGGGGGAAGAAAAAAUUUUUUUUUUUGGGGGGNNANNNNAAAAACAAAAAUAAUCCCCCCCCCCGGGGGGGGGGUGUCUUCCCCCAAAAAAAUUUUCCCCAAGAAAUUUUUGGGGGGGGCCCCCCCAACAAGGGGGGGGGAGAAGUGGGUUUAUUUAAAGAAACCGCCGAAAAGCCCCUUUCGGUGGUUUUAAACUCCCGGAGGGGAAGGGACCCAAAGUCCUUUUCCCUUGGGGGCAUGGANGACAGGUGGUGCAUGGUUGUCGUCAGCUCGUGUCGUGAGAUGUUGGGUUAAGUCCCGCAACGAGCGCAACCCCUAUUUCCAGUANGCCAGCAAGAAAGAUGGGAACUCUGGAGAGACUGCCCGGGAUAACUGGGAGGAAGGCGGGGAUGACGUCAAAUCAUCAUGCCCCUUAUGAUCAGGGCUACACACGUGCUACAAUGGCGUAAACAAAGGGAAGCGAAGUGGUGACACGAAGCAAAUCCGAAAAACAACGUCUCAGUUCGGAUUGUAGUCUGCAACUCGACUACAUGAAGCUGGAAUCGCUAGUAAUCGCGAAUCAGAAUGUCGCGGUGAAUACGUUCCCGGGUCUUGUACACACCGCCCGUCACACCAUGGGAGUCGGAAAUGCCCGAAGUCAGUGACCCAACCGAGAGGAGGGAGCUGCCGAAGGUGGAGCCGGUAACUGGGGUGAAGUCGUAACAAGG
RNAcentral lists this ribosomal RNA (722 nucleotides) under uncultured bacterium. RNAcentral's name for it is "partial 16S ribosomal RNA". It matches the Rfam family "Bacterial small subunit ribosomal RNA", at positions 801 to 1496 of the family's 1533-position model. The record is from RNAcentral.